RNAcentral lists this ribosomal RNA (403 nucleotides) under bacterium. RNAcentral describes it as "partial 16S ribosomal RNA". It matches the Rfam family "Bacterial small subunit ribosomal RNA", at positions 355 to 776 of the family's 1533-position model. The record is from RNAcentral.
UGGGGAAUAUUGCACAAUGGGGGAAACCCUGAUGCAGCGACGCCGCGUGAACGAAGAAGGUAUUCGUAUCGUAAAGUUCUGUCCUAUGGGAAGAUAAUGACAGUACUAUAGAAGAAAGCUCCGGCCAAAUACGUGCCAGCAGCCGCGGUAAUACGUAUGGAUCGAGCGGUGUCCGGAAUUAUUGGGCGUAAAGGGUACGCAGGCGGUUUAAUAAGUCGAAUGUUAAAGAUCGGGGCUCAACCCCGUAAAGCAUUGGAAACUGCUAAACUUGAGUAGUGGAGAGGAACGUGGAAUUCCUAGUGUAGUGGUGAAAUACGUAGAUAUUAGGAGGAAUACCAGUCGCGAAGGCGACUUUCUGGACACAAACUGACGCUGCGGUACGAAAGCGUGGGGAGCAAACAGG